Molecule: small nuclear RNA, 281 nt
Filed under: Mus musculus (house mouse)
Lineage: Eukaryota; Metazoa; Chordata; Mammalia; Rodentia; Muridae
Description: 7SK RNA
Rfam family: 7SK RNA
About the family: 7SK was discovered as an abundant small nuclear RNA in the mid-70s but a possible function has only recently been suggested. Two independent studies have found that 7SK RNA binds the CDK9/cyclin T complex (known as elongation factor P-TEFb).
Source: Rfam by way of RNAcentral
GGAUAUAAGGUCAUCUGUCUGUGGGAUCUUUCAUGCUAUUGAUUGACAAGACUGGUUCAGCUGCUCUGGAUGGCAAGGCAGGUAUCCCCUUCCUGCCUCACCGACCCCAAACUUCAUGCUCUUAAAGGACAGCAGCUUUUCCAAAGAGAGAACUUAUAAUUGGUUAAUGGUAUGAGUCCUAUUUCCUCAGCUACAGAUACCAGUCUAUCAAAAACAAAUGUUACUGGAUUGGAACUGAUAUGAAAAGCUACAUGAACCAGUUCCAGAUUGCUACAGAAUCU